This 233-nucleotide long non-coding RNA is filed under the name Brassica rapa (field mustard). RNAcentral's name for it is "long non-coding RNA (BRAP_LNC004192)". The record is from RNAcentral. Lineage: Eukaryota; Viridiplantae; Streptophyta; Magnoliopsida; Brassicales; Brassicaceae.
AACGGAGUUCGUCUCUUCUCUAUGUGCGACGGCAAGGCGGUGACGUUUGCGAUUCUUCUGGCGACACUGAAACGGUCGGAUUAAUGGCACAGUAUAAAUAUAUGUGAGAUCCCUCACCCUUCCAUGCUUCUCUUAUAUGUGAAAUUCAUCACUCAAUACUUAUCUUCUCCCCUUCUAGACGGUGAAAAUUCACCUAAAAAGGUAUGUCUUCUUCCUAUAAACAUCUUCCUCAC